AUGCCAGCAUCAUACUUCCUGUACAGCCUGCAGAACCAAGAGGCGUACUACGCAAAGAGUAAGGGUGUGAACUGGAAGCUGGGAGAGCUGGCUUGAUUCCCUUCACCGGCCAUCACUGGAGUGCGUCACUUGAUAUCAAGGAUUUCCGUUUAUCAACUACGAAGUGAUGUCCCUUAGGUUGAUACAGCUAUGGAGAUUAUAGCUUUCAAAGUGUUUGAGAGGAACCAUAUUUUAUAAAUUCAACAUUGCUGACUGCUGAAGGGACUAAGACUGAAGCUAGAAGAUACCAAAAAAUUCAUCAACUGAGUUGGAAAAACAUUAGUCAGACUCUUGGCUGAAUCCCCUGUCUACAAGAUAGAAUGACUUCUGCUUCUUCCACCUUGUUUGGAUUUGCCUACAACACAGCACAUUAUGACAACCUAUGUUCAUUAGGCUGUCUCCAAGAAUGUUGACACAGGUUACAUCUAUUCCAUGGAAAACUAACUGGCUUAAAGUAAAAUUUUAGGUUAAUAAAAUUA
This 518-nucleotide long non-coding RNA is filed under the name Homo sapiens (human). Its description in RNAcentral is "HSALNT0298240". Lineage: Eukaryota; Metazoa; Chordata; Mammalia; Primates; Hominidae. The record is from RNAcentral.